AACGAACGCUGGCGGCAUGCCUAACACAUGCAAGUCGAACGAAACCUUCGGGUCUAGUGUCGCACGGGUGCGUAACCCGUGGGAACCUGCCCUUGGGGUCGGAAUAACUCCCCGAAAGGGAUACUAAUACCGGAUAGUGUCUUCGGCCCAAAGAUUUAUCGCAUUUGGAUGUGCCCGCGUUGGAUUAGCUAGUUGGGAGGGUAAAAGCCUACCAAGGCGACGAUCCAUAGCUGGUCUGUGAGGAUGAUCAGCCACACUGAGACUGAGACACGGCCCAGACUCCUACGCGAGGCAGCAGUGGGGAAUAGUGGAAAAUGGGCGAAGGCCUGAUCCAGCAAGGCCGCGUGAGUGAUGAAGGUAGUAGGGUUGUAAAGCUCUUUUACCCGGGAUGAUAAUGACAGUACCGGGAGAAUAAGCUCCGGCUAACUCCGUG
Molecule: ribosomal RNA, 433 nt
Filed under: uncultured bacterium
Lineage: Bacteria
Description: partial 16S ribosomal RNA
Rfam family: Bacterial small subunit ribosomal RNA
Source: RNAcentral